CCCCACGCGAUUGGCUAGCAUAUUCCAAAAUGACGUCAACUGAGGUGAACGAGUCUAUCGCAUGAUGUUGGGGAGGGGCCUUGUUGCCAUUUGGGUCAGCUCGUCUGUACACAUCCGAACUGCAUCAGUAGCGUGACUGGUCAUGACUUAUAUUGCAUUUUAAGUGACUUGGUUUUCUCCGGCAACAACAAAUGCAAGUUCUGGAAAGUCAUGUGCAAACCGAUUUGCAAGGUGACGCCAUUCGAGGUUACAAAAGAUGAGAGGAAAAAAAUGUGAUUAAUCAAAGGACAAAAUUAACCUCAAGGCUGUAUAACUGUGCUCCGAUUUCGCUAAUUAUUUGGCAACUCCGUUCCCUGGCAACCCCUUCCCAAGAACUACCAGACAAAGCGGAGCCGACAAGAAAUCUUUGGACCGAUGCCAAUGCAACAAGGAGAAAUGACGUAGGCUGGCUAGUUCAAUGUCCCUAUUCUUGGGUGAGCUAACGGUAAAAAAUUUGUUUCAGCGUCCCAGUUUCACAAUCAUUCUCCAUAGAAAAAUGUUGUAAUCUAAGAAUAAUUAUGAGCCCCUCAGGGAAAAUUCCCAAAUUAAAAAUUGUUAGCUACAAAUCAAUCCACUGAAAGAAAAUAAAUCCCAAACUUAAUUUUUCCUGUCA
Long non-coding RNA from Daphnia pulex (common water flea), 652 nucleotides. RefSeq lists it as uncharacterized. The record is from RefSeq and is a predicted model, not a curated record. NCBI's taxonomy places the organism in Eukaryota, Metazoa, Arthropoda, Branchiopoda, Diplostraca, Daphniidae. The transcript is spliced from 2 exons.